Molecule: ribosomal RNA, 743 nt
Filed under: uncultured bacterium
Lineage: Bacteria
Description: bacterial SSU rRNA
Rfam family: Bacterial small subunit ribosomal RNA
Source: RNAcentral
AGUCGACGGUAACAGGAAGAAGCUUGCUUCUUUGCUGACGAGUGGCGGACGGGUGAGUAAUGUCUGGGAAACUGCCUGAUGGAGGGGAAUAACUACUGGAAACGGUAGCUAAUACCGCAUAACGUCGCAAGACCAAAGAGGGGGACCUUCGGGCCUCUUGCCAUCGGAUGUGCCCAGAUGGGAUUAGCUAGUAGGUGGGGUAACGGCUCACCUAGGCGACGAUCCCUAGCUGGUCUGAGAGGAUGACCAGCCACACUGGAACUGAGACACGGUCCAGACUCCUAAGGGAGGCAGCAGUGGGGAAUAUUGCACAAUGGGCGCAAGCCUGAUGCAGCCAUGCCGCGUGUAUGAAGAAGGCCUUCGGGUUGUAAAGUGCUUUCAGCGGGGAGGAAGGGAGUAAAGUUAAUACCUUUGCUCAUUGACGUUACCCGCAGAAGAAGCACCGGCUAACUCCGUGCCAGCAGCCGCGGUAAUACGGAGGGUGCAAGCGUUAAUCGGAAUUACUGGGCGUAAAGCGCACGCAGGCGGUUUGUUAAGUCAGAUGUGAAAUCCCCGGGCUCAACCUGGGAACUGCAUCUGAUACUGGCAAGCUUGAGUCUCGUAGAGGGGGGUAGAAUUCCAGGUGUAGCGGUGAAAUGCGUAGAGAUCUGGAGGAAUACCGGUGGCGAANGCGGCCCCCUGGACGAAGACUGACGCUCAGGUGCGAAAGCGUGGGGAGCAACAGGAUUAGAUACCCUGUAGUC